This 297-nucleotide ribosomal RNA is filed under the name Triticum aestivum (bread wheat). Its description in RNAcentral is "partial small subunit ribosomal RNA". The record is from RNAcentral. Lineage: Eukaryota; Viridiplantae; Streptophyta; Magnoliopsida; Poales; Poaceae.
CUCAAGCUCGACAUCUCCAAGGCUUUCGACUCUGUGGGUUGGGCUUACCUCCUGGAGGUGCUGCAACAGUUGAGAUUUGGGCAGCGCUGGCGGGAUUGGAUCUGCAUGACCCUCGCUUCAUCUUCCUCUAGGGUGCUGUUAAAUGGGGAGCCGGGAACCCCAUUCGUACAUGCAAAAGGCCUUCGCCAGGGCGACCCGGUGUUGCCUAUGCUCUUCAUUCUGGCCAUCGAUCCUCUGCAACUUAUGUUUCGGGCGGCUUUCCAGGCCGGGAUCCUCAAGCCCAUCAGGGCGCGGACG